RNAcentral lists this ribosomal RNA (392 nucleotides) under uncultured bacterium. RNAcentral's name for it is "bacterial SSU rRNA". It matches the Rfam family "Bacterial small subunit ribosomal RNA", at positions 28 to 407 of the family's 1533-position model. The record is from RNAcentral.
AGCGAACGCUGGCGGCGUGCUUAACACAUGCAAGUCGAGUGCGUAGCCCUUUGUAGCAAUACAGAGGGUGGGCGCACGGCGCACGGGUGAGUAACACGUGGGUAACCUGCCCUUCGGUGGGGAAUAACCCGCGAAAGACGGGGCGUAAUUACCGCAUAACAUUCCGGGGACGACAUGUUCUCGGACUCAAAGGAAGUGAUUCGCCGGAGGAGGGGCCCGCGCCCGAUUAGCUUGUUGGUAGGGUAACGGCCACCAAGGCUUUGAUCGGUAGCCGGUCUGAGAGGAUGGCCGGCCACACUGGAACUGAGACACGGUCCAGACUCCUACGGGAGGCAGCAGUGGGGAAUCUUGCGCAAUGGGCGAAAGCCUGACGCAGCGACGCCGCGUGGGGA